This 468-nucleotide ribosomal RNA is filed under the name uncultured bacterium. Its description in RNAcentral is "bacterial SSU rRNA". It matches the Rfam family "Bacterial small subunit ribosomal RNA", at positions 20 to 507 of the family's 1533-position model. The record is from RNAcentral.
UGGCUCAGAACGAACGCUGGCGGCAGGCCUAACACAUGCAAGUCGAGCGAGGUGCAAUACCUAGCGGCGGACGGGUUAGUAACGCGUGGGAACGUGCCCAAAGGGUACGGAAUAGCCUCGGGAAACUGAGAGUAAUACCGUAUGUNCCCGUUCGGGGGAAAGAUUUAUCGUCCUUUGGAUCGGCCCGCGUUGGAUUAGGUAGUUGGUGGGGUAAAGGCCCACCAAGGCGACGAUCAGUAGCGGGUCUGAGAGGAUGAUCCGCCACACUGGGACUGAGACACGGCCCAGACUUCUACGGGAGGCAGCAGUGGGGAAUAUUGGACAAUGGGCGCAAGCCUGAUCCAGCCAUGCCGCGUGAGUGAAGAAGGCCUUCGGGUUGUAAAGCUCUUUCGGCCGGGAAGAAAUCGCACAGGUUAAUACCCUGUGUGGAUGACGGUACCGGAAUAAGAAGCACCGGCUAACUACGUG